RNAcentral lists this ribosomal RNA (497 nucleotides) under uncultured bacterium. RNAcentral describes it as "partial 16S ribosomal RNA". It matches the Rfam family "Bacterial small subunit ribosomal RNA", at positions 28 to 507 of the family's 1533-position model. The record is from RNAcentral.
GAUGAACGCUGGCGGCGUGCCUAAUACAUGCAAGUCGAGCGAACAGACGAGGAGCUUGCUCCUCUGACGUUAGCGGCGGACGGGUGAGUAACACGUGGAUAACCUACCUAUAAGACUGGGAUAACUUCGGGAAACCGGAGCUAAUACCGGAUAAUAUAUUGAACCGCAUGGUUCAAUAGUGAAAGACGGUUUUGCUGUCACUUAUAGAUGGAUCCGCGCCGCAUUAGCUAGUUGGUAAGGUAGCGGCUUACCAAGGCAACGAUGCGUAGCCGACCUGAGAGGGUGAUCGGCCACACUGGAACUGAGACACGGUCCAGACUCCUACGGGAGGCAGCAGUAGGGAAUCUUCCGCAAAGGGCGAAAGCUUGACGGAGCAACGCCGCGUGAGUGAUGAAGGUCUUCGGAUCGUAAAACUCUGUUAUUAGGGAAGAACAAAUGUGUAAGUAACUAUGCACGUCUUGACGGUACCUAAUCAGAAAGCCACGGCUAACUACGUG